UACAGGGGGUGCAAACGUUGCUCGGAAUCAUUGGGCGUAAAGCGCACGUAGGCGGUCUGUUAUGUCGGAUGUGAAAGCCCUUGGCUUAACUGAGGAAGUGCAUCCGAAACUGGCAGGCUAGAGUACUAAAGAGGGUCGCGGAAUUCCGGGUGUAGCGGUGGAAUGCGUAGAGAUCCGGAAGAACACCGGUGGCGAAGGCGGCCUGCUGGGCAGUGGGGGAGACCCCUUCAAGCUGACACUGAGGCGCGACAGCGUGGGGAGCAAACAGG
Molecule: ribosomal RNA, 269 nt
Filed under: uncultured bacterium
Lineage: Bacteria
Description: partial 16S ribosomal RNA
Rfam family: Bacterial small subunit ribosomal RNA
Source: RNAcentral